RNAcentral lists this ribosomal RNA (253 nucleotides) under uncultured bacterium. RNAcentral describes it as "partial 16S ribosomal RNA". It matches the Rfam family "Bacterial small subunit ribosomal RNA", at positions 524 to 776 of the family's 1533-position model. The record is from RNAcentral.
UACGGGGGGGGCAAGCGUUGUUCGGAAUUACUGGGCGUAAAGGGCUCGUAGGCGGCCAACUAAGUCAGACGUGAAAUCCCUCGGCUUAACCGGGGAACUGCGUCUGAUACUGGAUGGCUUGAGUUCGGGAGAGGGAUGCGGAAUUCCAGGUGUAGCGGUGAAAUGCGUAGAUAUCUGGAGGAACACCGGUGGCGAAGGCGGCAUCCUGGACCGACACUGACGCUGAGGAGCGAAAGCCAGGGGAGCAAACAGG